Dromaius novaehollandiae (emu) is the source of this 3599-nucleotide long non-coding RNA. RefSeq lists it as uncharacterized. The record is from RefSeq and is a predicted model, not a curated record. Lineage: Eukaryota; Metazoa; Chordata; Aves; Casuariiformes; Dromaiidae. The transcript is spliced from 8 exons.
CUCCCCUGUCUGGUGGGGUGGGAGACCGGUGGCUGCUCCCGCCGAGCUGAGAGCCACGUAGGGCACCCCAUGUGCUCACUACGCAUCUGGGAUGGCACCCCUGCCCUGAGGGCCCCGCAGAGUCCCACCCUUCCUGCAACCAGCCCCCCCAGAGCCAUUAAACCACCCACAAAUCCUGCCCCAACACCCCCACAGGCCCCAAAACGCCUCCGAGCCCUGCCGCAAUGUUGUCACUGACUCCAGACCUUCCCCUGCACUCUGUGCAAGGCCCCAAACUUUCCUCAAACUGCUGCCAGACCCAGUGCCCGCAGCAGUGAGGCGUUCUAACAAAGAUGGGGUGCGAUGUGCGUCUCCGCCUCGACUCAGUCCCGCUUUAGAGAAACAGGAAGUUACAGCACUUCCUGGUGAAGAGUGUUGACGGGUGAAUGUGCGGAUGACAAAGAGACUUUUCUCUCUUUUCUUCUGAGCCGCCUCUCAGAAGCCUCUGUGUGUGCACGAUGUGGCUGAUCUGGGAUAAUCGUGCUGUGCGCAGUGCUUAAGGAGAACAUUGCCCUAAAAUGGAGGGCUAAGGAAUAGCCUAAAAAACCUAAAAGGCUCGGGAAGAGCAAAAGAGAACACCGAUGGGCUCUGGGAAGCCCCAGUGAUGCUAGCGAAAACAGCGUGGCUUUUAGGCACCUCCUCAGAGCAGCAGCAAUGUCUCGCUCCAGCCUAUGGGACAAUGGGGACUCUUAAUUACCGCCUUGAAUUACCACAAGUGUUGCAAAAGCAGAAGGGACUAGGGAGCAUGCAGAGCAGGUUAUGGACUAUAUGUCAAGUUUAAACAAGCAACAAGCCCCUCUGCAAACAGAAACAGGUUUAGCCCUAAGUAAUAGAGGAAGGUAGCUGUGAGUAACGUGAAGCGAAGCGGUGACGUCAGUCACCCCGAAAGCCUCGGAGAAGCGGUCUGAAAAUCUGGUACCCUCGCGACCUCGGCAGUCUUUUUGGUUUGUUUGGCAGGGUAGCCCACCGAAGGGGGACAUCUCGAAGAGAAGCAGCAAGACCUGGGGAUCCGGUGGUUCAUUUUGGUCGUCGCCUGUGAGGCCAGCAUGCAAGAGUAAGAGGAAGCUAGGAGCAGUCUCAAAAAGAGAUGGAACCGAGGACAGCAAAUGCUGACGAGGAGAAGAGACGGACGAGCGUUUGCUUGCGGUUAAUACCGAAGGGACGGGAUGAAACAAGGAAGCCAGAAUGCAGCGGCCCCUCGAUAUCACCAGGAACUGCUACAGGAGGAGGCGUUCUGGCACGGGUAACUAGGAUUAAUUGCCACGGCUGAAGUUGAAGAGACCAAGAAACGUAAGCCCCGAAGGGGCACAUCUUGAAGAGAGGGGGCUAGACCUAGCGAUCCAGUUGUUCGUUUUGGUCGUCGCCUGUGAGGCCAGCAUGCAAGAGUAAGAGGAAGCUAGGAGCAGUCUCAAAAAGAGAUGGAACCAAGGACAGCAAAUGCUGACGAGGAGAAGAGACGGACGAGCGUUUGCUUGCGGUUAAUACCGAAGGGACGGGAUGAAACAAGGAAGCCAGAAUGCAGCGGCCCCUCGAUAUCACCAGGAACUGCUACAGGAGGAGGCGUUCUGGCACGGGUAACUAGGAUUAAUUGCCACGGCUGAAGUUGAAGAGACCAAGAAACGUAAGCCCCGAAGGGGCACAUCUUGAAGAGAGGGGGCUAGACCUAGCGAUCCAGUUGUUCGUUUUGGUCGUCGCCUGUGAGGCCAGCAUGCAAGAGUAAGAGGAAGCUAGGAGCAGUCUCAAAAAGAGAUGGAACCAAGGACAGCAAAUGCUGACGAGGAGAAGAGACGGACGAGCGUUUGCUUGCGGUUAAUACCGAAGGGACGGGAUGAAACAAGGAAGCCAGAAUGCAGCGGCCCCUCGAUAUCACCAGGAACUGCUACAGGAGGAGGCGUUCUGGCACGGGUAACUAGGAUUAAUUGCCACGGCUGAAGUUGAAGAGACCAAGAAACGUAAGCCCCGAAGGGGCACAUCUUGAAGAGAGGGGGCUAGACCUAGCGAUCCAGUUGUUCGUUUUGGUCGUCGCCUGUGAGGCCAGCAUGCAAGAGUAAGAGGAAGCUAGGAGCAGUCUCAAAAAGAGAUGGAACCAAGGACAGCAAAUGCUGACGAGGAGAAGAGACGGACGAGCGUUUGCUUGCGGUUAAUACCGAAGGGACGGGAUGAAACAAGGAAGCCAGAAUGCAGCGGCCCCUCGAUAUCACCAGGAACUGCUACAGGAGGAGGCGUUCUGGCACGGGUAACUAGGGUAAGUAUCGCUAAUGACCGUUAGCAGUUAUUUCGGCCUCCCCGAGGCAGCGCUGAGGACUAAGUAACCUGAGGGGCUCUGGCCUGGGUUAGGGCAGAAGUGCAGGCAGGCGGGAUCAGGCAUUUUCCUCUCAGCUCUCCAAGCUGAAUCCUAGCCCUGAAGGAAAAAGCACUGGGGGGAGGCUACUCGGACACCUGCCACGUCGAGGGCAGGGGCAGGAGCUGACCCUUCCCCGACGGACGGACGGACGGACAGACGCUGGUGCGGCGGUGACUCUUUGGAUAUCGUAGGUAAGGGGAGGCACGCUGGUGCCGAGCUCCAGGGCGGUUUGCCUGAACACGAUGCCCGGGGCAGGAGGUUACGCAUUGUGUCCGGGGCUGGGAGCUGGUCCCCGAGUCCCAUGUACUUGGGAGUGCCUGCGCUUGCCAGGGAGCCCGGUGCUGUUCCCAGAGCUGCGGGGAAUUUCCCUUGCGUUGCCUGGACCCUCGGGGCUCUUGGGGGUGUUUCCCCUCAUCGCAAGGGCAGCCAGAGCCCCUCCAGGGCUGCGUGAGGUCCCCGAACCGCUCCCGGAUUUGCUUUUGGCACUCCGCAGUGUCGCUCGUGUGCCUGGGGCAGCCUGCAGGCGCCAUCCUGUCAGCCGCGUUGAGCCCUGCGGCGUGCCUGGUGACCCCUCUGGUGUGCGCCAAGGCCCUUCCUCUGUAUUUUGGUCUGCCCCAGAGCCCUGCACUUGCCCUCUGAUGCCCUCAGGACCCCUCAGUUCACAUUCUGGGUUGCCCCCGAGCCCUCUGCGUGCCUUUCGGUGCGCCCCGUGGCCCCGUGUGUGUUUUGCGGCACGCCGCAGAGGUCUCUGUUUAGCUUUUUCUCCUGUCCUGGAGUUUUCUGGGUGCUUCUGGGUGUGCCCCAGGGCCCUCCUUUUGGUGCCCCCAGAGUCACUCUGUUUGCUCUAUCGUUGUUCUUUUUUUUUUUUUUUUUUUUUUUUUUUUCUUGACUUGUGUUGCACCCAGAGCUCUCGAUUUGUUCUCUUGUGCUCCGCAUACUCCCCUUUCCGCACUCUACACCCCAGGCAGGGCUCUCCCUUCAGCUCUCAGCAAGCUGCUGUCAGGAGAGUGGGGGUGCCUCUGCUGCCCUGGCAGCCCCAGCUGUCCCUGAAGGGGCUGAUGGCCAGGCCCCCUGCCCAGUUCCUGCAGGCCCACAGCUGCGGGCCCUGGGGCUGGGAUGAAUGCCAGGGGGAGCUGGGUGGCAGGACAGGCCCCAGGUGGGGCUGAUGGCAAGGGCAGGCCCACAUUUGGGGGCUGGGGCCGCAGUUGGGGGGAGC